Long non-coding RNA from Solea senegalensis (Senegalese sole), 403 nucleotides. RefSeq lists it as uncharacterized. The transcript has 4 exons. NCBI's taxonomy places the organism in Eukaryota, Metazoa, Chordata, Actinopteri, Pleuronectiformes, Soleidae. The record is from RefSeq and is a predicted model, not a curated record.
GGCCGAUCGCCGCCGCAGACCUGGAGGAGAGGGGAAAGAUGAGGCGUGAAGCUGCAGCUGAUGUAUUCCAACAGGCCUCUGCACGUGAUUUUGCUGCCGUUGAUCUCCUUCACGUCGAUGUUACGGGGACUCAGGAGCCACGGCACCAGAACCUGCAGGUUGUUGAUGAACUCGCCAUCGAUUUCUAGAUGGGGAGGAGAGGCAGCAACUGAAAGACCUCGCUCCAGAUCUGGAUGCCGGUGGUUUCCCUUUCUGAACCUCCACGCCAGGAGAAGCCGGUCAGAGGCUCGUCGGCAUCUCCGAGCCAAUCGUCGGACGCCUGAACACGAUCAGAUCAGGGGGAUACUCACGUGGUUGUACAUGUAUCGCAGCAUAAAGUCCAUGAGGAAGGACUUGCCCUUAC